This 669-nucleotide ribosomal RNA is filed under the name uncultured bacterium. Its description in RNAcentral is "bacterial SSU rRNA". It matches the Rfam family "Bacterial small subunit ribosomal RNA", at positions 8 to 694 of the family's 1533-position model. The record is from RNAcentral.
AGAGUUUGAUCCUGGCUCAGGACGAACGCUGGCGGCGUGCUUAACACAUGCAAGUCGAACGGAAAGGCCCUUCGGGGUACUCGAGUGGCGAACGGGUGAGUAACACGUGGGUGAUCUGCCCUGCACUUUGGGAUAAGCCUGGGAAACUGGGUCUAAUACCGAAUAUGAUCAUGGCCUGCAUGGGUUGUGGUGGAAAGCUUUUGCGGUGUGGGAUGGGCCCGCGGCCUAUCAGCUUGUUGGUGGGGUAAUGGCCUACCAAGGCGACGACGGGUAGCCGGCCUGAGAGGGUGACCGGCCACACUGGGACUGAGAUACGGCCCAGACUCCUACGGGAGGCAGCAGUGGGGAAUAUUGCACAAUGGGCGCAAGCCUGAUGCAGCGACGCCGCGUGAGGGAUGACGGCCUUCGGGUUGUAAACCUCUUUCAGUAGGGACGAAGCGCAAGUGACGGUACCUAUAGAAGAAGGACCGGCCAACUACGUGCCAGCAGCCGCGGUAAUACGUAGGGUCCGAGCGUUGUCCGGAAUUACUGGGCGUAAAGAGCUCGUAGGUGGUUUGUCGCGUUGUUCGUGAAAACUCACAGCUCAACUGUGGGCGUGCGGGCGAUACGGGCAGACUUGAGUACUGCAGGGGAGACUGGAAUUCCUGGUGUAGCGGUGAAAUGCGUAGA